UGCCAGCCGCCGCGGUAAUACGGAGGUUGCAAGCGUUGUUCGGAAUUACUGGGCGUAAAGGGGGCGCAGGCGGUUCGAUUAGUCUGGAGUGAAAGCCCGGGGCUCAACCCCGGAAGGCCUUUGGAUACUGUCGAACUAGAGUACGGGAGAGGAGAGCGGAAUUCCUGGUGUAGCGGUGAAAUGCGUAGAUAUCAGGAGGAACACCUAUGGCGAAAGCGGCUAACUGGCUCGGUACUGACGCUGAGAUGCGAAAGCGUGGGGAGCAAACAGGAUUAGAUA
This 279-nucleotide ribosomal RNA is filed under the name uncultured bacterium. Its description in RNAcentral is "partial 16S ribosomal RNA". It matches the Rfam family "Bacterial small subunit ribosomal RNA", at positions 506 to 784 of the family's 1533-position model. The record is from RNAcentral.